RNAcentral lists this ribosomal RNA (497 nucleotides) under uncultured bacterium. RNAcentral's name for it is "partial 16S ribosomal RNA". It matches the Rfam family "Bacterial small subunit ribosomal RNA", at positions 28 to 507 of the family's 1533-position model. The record is from RNAcentral.
GAUGAACGCUGGCGGCGUGCCUAAUACAUGCAAGUCGAGCGAACAGACGAUGAGCUUGCUCCUCUGACGUUAGCGGCGGACGGGUGAGUAACACGUGGAUAGCCUACCUAUAAGACUGGGAUAACUUCGGGAAACCGGAGCUAAUACCGGAUAAUAUAUUGAACCGCAUGGUUCAAUAGUGAAAGACGGUUUUGCUGUCACUUAUAGAUGGAUCCGCGCCGCAUUAGCUAGUCGGUAAGGUAACGGCUUACCAAGGCGACGAUGCGUAGCCGACCUGAGAGGGUGAUCGGCCACACUGGAACUGAGACACGGUCCAGACUCCUACGGGAGGCAGCAGUAGGGAAUCUUCCGCAAUGGGCGAAAGCCUGACGGAGCAACGCCGCGUGAGUGAUGAAGGUCUUCGGAUCGUAAAACUCUGUUAUUAGGGAAGAACAAAUGUGUAAGUAACUAUGCACGUCUUGACGGUACCUAAUCAGAAAGCCACGGCUAACUACGUG